UACAAGGGAUAAUGUCGGGUGUAGGGUAGGUUGAACAAAGAAGAAAAUUGGUUUAAAGUGUGGCGUUGGGAUGGGUAAAUAAUGGUAGGAAGGGAAACUUGAUGAUCGGAGUAAUAAGUGAUAAUGAUAAAAACUCGCAAGACUUUUCACUUUUUUUUCUUUCUUUCUUUUUUUUUAACUCGAUUUUUUUGUCACUUCUUUUUUUCCUUUUUUUUCGAUUUUUUUAAUUUUUUUUCCGAAUUUCUUCUCUUUUUUUAAAAAAUCUAAUACAAUAGUAAACUAAAUACAAGGAAGAGAAAAAAAAUUAAAUUCCAACUCAAAAUUUUUUUUGACUUUUUUAUUUUACGAACCUACUCUGAGCUUGAUACGAAU
RNAcentral lists this long non-coding RNA (372 nucleotides) under Gossypium raimondii (Peruvian cotton). RNAcentral describes it as "long non-coding RNA (GRAI_LNC001414)". Lineage: Eukaryota; Viridiplantae; Streptophyta; Magnoliopsida; Malvales; Malvaceae. The record is from RNAcentral.